CGGGGACAUCGGCAGGCUCCCCGCUGCAGCAGACGCUCGCGCGUCCAAGCUCUGC
RNAcentral lists this non-coding RNA (55 nucleotides) under unclassified sequences. Its description in RNAcentral is "chromate-resist RNA". It matches the Rfam family "chrB-b RNA". The record is from RNAcentral.